CCUACGGGCGGCAGCAGUAGGGAAUUUUUCACAAUGGGCGAAAGCCUGAUGGAGCAACGCCGCGUGCAGGAUGAAGGCCUUCGGGUUGUAAACUGCUUUUAUAAGCGAGAAAUAUGAUGGUAACUUAUGAAUAAGGAUCGGCUAACUACGUGCCAGCAGCCGCGGUCAUACGUAGGAUCCGAGCAUUAUCCGGAGUGACUGGGUGUAAAGAGUUGCGUAGGUGGCAUAAUAAGUAGCUAGUGAAAUCUGGUGGCUCAACCAUUCAGACUAUUAGCUAAACUGUUAAGCUCGAGACCGUUAGGGGUAACUGGAAUUUCUAGUGUAGGCGUGAAAUCCUUAGAUAUUAGAAGGAACCCCAAUAGCGUAGGCAGGUUGCUGGGACGGUUCUGACACUAAGGCACGAAAGCGUAGGGAGCAAACGGGAUUAGAUACCCCUGUAGUC
This 442-nucleotide ribosomal RNA is filed under the name uncultured bacterium. Its description in RNAcentral is "partial 16S ribosomal RNA". It matches the Rfam family "Bacterial small subunit ribosomal RNA", at positions 338 to 795 of the family's 1533-position model. The record is from RNAcentral.